RNAcentral lists this ribosomal RNA (419 nucleotides) under uncultured bacterium. RNAcentral describes it as "bacterial SSU rRNA". It matches the Rfam family "Bacterial small subunit ribosomal RNA", at positions 356 to 773 of the family's 1533-position model. The record is from RNAcentral.
AAGGAAUAUUGGUCAAUGGACGCAAGUCUGAACCAGCCAUGCCGCGUGAAGGAUGAAGGUCCUCUGGAUUGUAAACUUCUUUUAUCUGGGACGAAAACGGGAUUUUUAUCUCAAUUGACGGUACCAGAGGAAUAAGCACCGGCUAACUCCGUGCCAGCAGCCGCGGUAAUACGGAGGGUGCGAGCGUUAUCCGGAUUUACUGGGUUUAAAGGGUGCGUAGGUGGGCUUAUAAGUCAGUGGUGAAAUCUCCGAGCUUAACUUGGAAACUGCCGUUGAUACUAUAGGUCUUGAAUUAUCUGGAGGUAAGCGGAAUAUGUCAUGUAGCGGUGAAAUGCUUAGAUAUGACAUAGAACACCAAUUGCGAAGGCAGCUUACUACAUAUAAAUUGACGCUGAGGCACGAAAGCGUGGGGAUCAAAC